This 478-nucleotide ribosomal RNA is filed under the name uncultured bacterium. RNAcentral describes it as "bacterial SSU rRNA". It matches the Rfam family "Bacterial small subunit ribosomal RNA", at positions 29 to 524 of the family's 1533-position model. The record is from RNAcentral.
AAUGAACGUUGGCGGCGUGGAUUAGGCAUGCAAGUCGAGCGAGAAGUUUUAGAAAGAUACUUCGGUUGAUUUCUAAAAUGGACAGCGGCGAAAGGGAGAGUAACGAGUAGAUACGUACCCAGGGGUCCGGGAUAGCCAUGCGAAAGCGUGAGUAAUACCGGAUAAUGUCUCCGGACCAAAGAUUUAUUGCCCUUGGAGCGGUCUGCUUACUAUUAGGUUGUUGGUGGGGUAAUGGCCUACCAAGCCGAAGAUGGUUAGCGGGUGUGAGAGCAUGGCCCGUCUCACUGGGACUGAGACACUGCCCAGACACCUACGGUGGCUGCAGUCGAGAAUCUUCCGCAAUGGGCGAAAGCCUGACGGAGCGACGCCGCGUGAUGGAUGAAGGCCCUCGGGUUGUAACAUCUGUCGUAGGGGGGAAAUUUUUUGACCGAUCCUAGGAGGAAGCACAGGCUAAGUUCGUGCCAGCCGCCGCGGUAAU